AAGCAAAUCGUCAUCCUUGCACGGAUUGACUUAAUGAUGACGUCACGAAGUGAAUCGUGAGGGCAAGUUAUAUCCUGACCAACUUAAUCGAAAUUAAAAUAAUACGAACAGAAUAAAAUAAAUCUAUUUAGCAUUUGAUUAUAUACUUAUUGCCGUAAGUAAAUAAUAUGGUGUUUAAGAAAUACGAGAUCUGACAUUAAGUAAAAAAAUUAAUUGUUCUUUCCUGAAGGAUUGUCACAUGAUCUUUGUUGCUAUAAUUUGCUUACUAUUUCUGAUGCACGACUUAUAAUUUAAUAAAUUCACUUCGGUCUGCUGUUUCUAGUAUCAUUUAUAAGUUUUAUAAAUGAUGAUAUUAUUUAUUGCUGUUGGUUUAAAUUUAAAGAUGUAGGUUUACCCAAAACAAUUAUUAAUUACUAUUAAUUUGUGCAGAUUGACAUUUUUGAUCUGUAUUCCACCAUAAAAUAUUUAGAUGUGAACUAACAUCUCAACAUGAAAACAAUGUUGCUGUCAGACUCACUCUGACAGCUGUCAACAUUAAACUUCGAAAGUGAUGAACUAAACAUAAGUGUAGGAUUUUACUUUUUUGCUUGAAUAAGAACAAGAUCAAAUAAAUCAGAUUCGAGACUCGUUUGAACAACAAAUUCAUUAUAUAUUAAUCCAACAGAAUUAAAAGACAUUUAUUAUAGAUUUCAAUUUUAAGUUUAGAGUCAACAUAUGCAAGAACGCAUAUUCGUGUUUUUGAACUCUAUCUUUUUCUCUCUUUUCUCUUCCAUGAUGAAGAGGAGAAACAGACGUUUCCUACUCCUGUAUAGUUAUUUGUUUCACUGAUCUCGCUCCUUCUCUUAUUGAACAAUGCAGCAGUUUACAAUAUUGAGUUUAUUGCGGAAACAAAUAACGCGAAGAAACUUGUAUUGCUUAGAAUAUUUGCCAAAAAUGGUCAUAGUCGUAUUUUUUGCAUUUGAACAUCGAAGACCCUCAAAGUACUUCUCCCAAAGAACUUCUUAUUCUCAAUCUUUUUUGCUUUUCUCCUCCUCAUUUUCUGAAUUUUCUCUGGCUUGUUGAUUGUUUUUCUUGUCGAUAUGUUAUGCAUUCAUUCACUAGAACUUGAUGAAAUAUGUCAUUAUUAAAAGUCAUCUACUUUAUAUAUGAGACCUCUGUUCCUGGACAUACCUUUAUAUUUGGCACUUCUGUUUACUAGGCUAUAUUUCUGUUUGUUUCUCCGAUAUAACUAUUUGAAUUAUGUGGCUGUUAAUAAACCUUGUUUUUGUAUGAAACAUUCGGAAAACGUCAUUUAUAUGAUUGCAAAUCGUAUUAGCAAUAAAUACGGAUCACGUACGUUACGAGACAAAUUAUCCGCGAGUUGUCAUAUAAUAUUUCUCAAAUCAGCAUAGCUAUUUAAUAAAUAUAAAUAAACGUAAAAUAUAGAAUUUUAUGAAGUCUGUAUAACUAGAAAAUUUCUAUAAUAAAUUGUGUUACAAUAUGCUACAGUAAGAGCCUGUUCAAAUUCACUUCUCUCUUGCGAUAAACUUCUCAACUCUAUUUCCUUUCAAUAUUAUAACAGUAUAUAUUAUGUACAUUUCAUAUAAAAAUAUCAGAAAAAUUAAUGUAUAGUGUGUAUGAAAAUCAUAAAUAGUAUAAAUAAAACAAGCAAGUUAUAUAUAAUAUAAUGGGAAAAUAUUAAAAUUUUUAUUAUAACUGAUACAUGUUAAUUUAAAUAAAUAGGAAUUUAGUACGGCUU
Molecule: long non-coding RNA, 1738 nt
Filed under: Androctonus crassicauda
Lineage: Eukaryota; Metazoa; Arthropoda; Arachnida; Scorpiones; Buthidae
Source: RNAcentral